UGGGGAAUUUUGGACAAUGGGGGAAACCCUGAUCCAGCCAUCCCGCGUGUGCGAUGAAGGCCUUCGGGUUGUAAAGCACUUUUGGCAGGAAAGAAACGUCGCGGGUUAAUACCCCGCGAAACUGACGGUACCUGCAGAAUAAGCACCGGCUAACUACGUGCCAGCAGCCGCGGUAAUACGUAGGGUGCAAGCGUUAAUCGGAAUUACUGGGCGUAAAGCGUGCGCAGGCGGUUCGGAAAGAAAGAUGUGAAAUCCCAGAGCUUAACUUUGGAACUGCAUUUUUUAACUACCGGGCUAGAGUGUGUCAGAGGGAGGUGGGAUUCCGCGUGUAGCAGUGAAAUGCGUAGAUAUGCGGAGGAACACCGAUGGCGAAGGCAGCCUCCUGGGAUAACACUGACGCUCAUGCACGAAAGCGUGGGGAGCAAACAGGAUUAGAUACCCUGGUAGUCCACGCCCUAAACGAUGUCAACUAGCUGUUGGGGCCUUCGGGCCUUGGUAGCGCAGCUAACGCGUGAAGUUGACCGCCUGGGGAGUACGGUCGCAAGAUUAAAACUCAAAUGAAUUGACGGGGUCGAU
Molecule: ribosomal RNA, 576 nt
Filed under: uncultured bacterium
Lineage: Bacteria
Description: partial 16S ribosomal RNA
Rfam family: Bacterial small subunit ribosomal RNA
Source: RNAcentral